This 464-nucleotide ribosomal RNA is filed under the name Vreelandella stevensii. Its description in RNAcentral is "partial 16S ribosomal RNA". It matches the Rfam family "Bacterial small subunit ribosomal RNA", at positions 338 to 795 of the family's 1533-position model. The record is from RNAcentral. Lineage: Bacteria; Pseudomonadati; Pseudomonadota; Gammaproteobacteria; Oceanospirillales; Halomonadaceae.
CCUACGGGUGGCAGCAGUGGGAAUAUUGGACAAUGGGGGGAACCCUGAUCCAGCCAUGCCGCGUGUGUGAAGAAGGCCCUCGGGUUGUAAAGCACUUUCAGUGAGGAAGAACGCCUGGUGGUUAAUACCCAUCAGGAAAGACAUCACUCACAGAAGAAGCACCGGCUAACUCCGUGCCAGCAGCCGCGGUAAUACGGAGGGUGCGAGCGUUAAUCGGAAUUACUGGGCGUAAAGCGCGCGUAGGUGGCUUGAUAAGCCGGUUGUGAAAGCCCCGGGCUCAACCUGGGAACGGCAUCCGGAACUGUCAAGCUAGAGUGCAGGAGAGGAAGGUAGAAUUCCCGGUGUAGCGGUGAAAUGCGUAGAGAUCGGGAGGAAUACCAGUGGCGAAGGCGGCCUUCUGGACUGACACUGACACUGAGGUGCGAAAGCGUGGGUAGCAAACAGGAUUAGAUACCCCUGUAGUC